ACACCUGAUCCAGGUAAUCAGCAGCAAGAAGCCCAGUGAGCUGGAAAGCAGGCAUGGUGGUGGACCACGAGGACGGGGAUGCAGAGGAUUUUGUGUCAGGAAAAUCUUUCAAGGUUAGGAGAAUAAAUCAAAGUGGAGUUCUUACCAUGAGCUGGACCGGGCUGUUCCUCCAUGUGCUUCCUCUGCUGCAGUCCGGAGAACCAGAGGCACCGCGUCAGCAGCUUUGAGUGAGACUGAACAAUGAGACGAGAUGGCGGCCGAGGAAGGUGAACCCAAACCACAAAAGGAGAAUCCAACAGACACGUUAAUCAUGGGAGCAGCCAAAUUCUCACAGACGCACGAUCGCUGCAGAUUCAAAGACCAACUCCAAUGAAAGUUGUCUUUUUGGUGUUUUAACAUGUUCUUAUAGAGUUUUCUCAUAAUGGAGAACACAUAUAAAGAAAGUAAAGUUUGAAUUUACUUUUCUUUAUUCACAUCGUUGUGACCUUGAAGCAGACGACAAAAUGCUGUUUUAAAAAAAAGAACUGUAUUUGUGACGUAGAAGCUUUAAAGGACAGGAAAACAAGCUGCCUGCUCUGCUC
Long non-coding RNA from Oryzias latipes (Japanese medaka), 581 nucleotides. RefSeq lists it as uncharacterized. NCBI's taxonomy places the organism in Eukaryota, Metazoa, Chordata, Actinopteri, Beloniformes, Adrianichthyidae. The record is from RefSeq and is a predicted model, not a curated record.